Lacerta agilis (Sand lizard) is the source of this 72-nucleotide non-coding RNA. The record is from the annotation of a RefSeq genome assembly. Lineage: Eukaryota; Metazoa; Chordata; Lepidosauria; Squamata; Lacertidae.
ACGGUUGUAGCUCAGUGAUAGAGCAUCUGCUUUGCAUGCUGAAGGUCCCAGGUUUGAUCCCUGGCAACUGUG